This 465-nucleotide ribosomal RNA is filed under the name Vreelandella stevensii. RNAcentral's name for it is "partial 16S ribosomal RNA". It matches the Rfam family "Bacterial small subunit ribosomal RNA", at positions 338 to 795 of the family's 1533-position model. The record is from RNAcentral. Lineage: Bacteria; Pseudomonadati; Pseudomonadota; Gammaproteobacteria; Oceanospirillales; Halomonadaceae.
CCUACGGGCGUCUGCAGUGGGGAAUAUUGGACAAUGGGCGAAAGCCUGAUCCAGCCAUGCCGCGUGUGUGAAGAAGGCCUUCGGGUUGUAAAGCACUUUCAGUGGGGAAGAAAGCCUUGGGGCUAAUACCCUCGAGGAAGGACAUCACCCACAGAAGAAGCACCGGCUAACUCCGUGCCAGCAGCCGCGGUAAUACGGAGGGUGCGAGCGUUAAUCGGAAUUACUGGGCGUAAAGCGCGCGUAGGCGGUCUGAUAAGCCGGUUGUGAAAGCCCCGGGCUCAACCUGGGAACGGCAUCCGGAACUGUCAGGCUAGAGUGCAGGAGAGGAAGGUAGAAUUCCCGGUGUAGCGGUGAAAUGCGUAGAGAUCGGGAGGAAUACCAGUGGCGAAGGCGGUCUUCUGGACUGACACUGACGCUGAGGUGCGAAAGCGUGGGUAGCAAACAGGAUUAGAUACCCUAGUAGUC